CACAGCCAUUUUCUUAGCAGCUUUUUGACUGUAUGUUACCAUAGUCCCACAAGGCAUUGGUCCUUUCCCAUUGGGAAGUCAUGAAUAAGAGACUAUGAAGCUCACACGUCAGAUCUUCCUCAAUUAAUCCACCAUUAGCAUGUUCGGGGUCCACAACUGGAUGGUUAACAGCGGCUUUUGUAACUGUGUGCCGACCAUACCCAAUUAUGCUCUGCUAAAAAUGAACUCUUUGCAGACCAAGCCUCUCGGGCUGUCAGUGUUUUCCGUUUUCCUAUUUUAACGUUUGUGUAUAGUGGCAGGCGACAGAUGGUGUGGAUCAGAUCGAUUUGAUUGCAUUAGAUGAUUUUCCCCCCUUCCCCACGCCUUUCUGGAAGCUCGCAUCAGCUGAAGGCUCUCGCCUGGGACUCCUCCGAAGCAUGAGCAAGCCGCCACCACGCGAAGGCACUGGGGCACAGCCAGCGAGAGGCGAUGAGGUCCCUUCCCAGGGCUUGUUAACACUGUAACCGGGCGCUCAGAGAGCAGCGGCUCCCACUGCCCAAGCCUGCCUCGCCGCCCAUCGGAUGACUCCUGGCUUCUGCACACAGUUGGAGUUCAGCGGGCAACCUGGAUUUAGAGGGGUUCGCUUGCUGCCAUGACACUCAAUCAAAGCACCUAGAGUGGGCUGGCCAUGACCAGAGUCCGCAUGAAGCAGAGCAAAUACCAAGGAAAGCGCUGGGUGAUCACCAGAAUUGGAAAUAGAACAGCCAUUUGGAAGAUCUGGGCAGGAAGCAACAGAGCACAGCUUUGGAGCCUUCUUUAGGGAAAUCGAGUUAUGGAUUUAUGGUCCCGGUCAAGCUCAGCCCAGCCCUAGCCAGGGGCGGGCUCCGCAGCAAGAGUUCUUUCUGGUGGUGGCGGCGGCAGCGGCAGCAGUGACAGCGGUAGCAGAGGCAGAGGCAGCGGCAGCUUGGCCCUCUGACUCUCUUCGGUGACGGGUAUUCUUGGGUGGAUAAUACGGAUUACGUUGUUAUUGCUUAAGAAUACGCGUAGUCGAGGAGAGUACCAGCGGCAGGCGGGCAGCAGCCGCCCCUCCCAGCCCACCAGCUGGCCACUAAAAGCUCCCGGUUGCCAAGGUAGCACUUUUUAUGUUUUCUUUUCCUCGGGUGGUUUCGUUCUGGAUCUUCCUGGCACCUCUGGUGACCCAGACCGCUUUUAGAAGGA
Molecule: long non-coding RNA, 1197 nt
Organism: Rattus rattus (black rat)
Lineage: Eukaryota; Metazoa; Chordata; Mammalia; Rodentia; Muridae
Exons: 3
Source: RefSeq, a predicted model, not a curated record